AAUCAAAUACGAAUCCGAGUCUUUGCGCCUAAGGUUUCUACGGCGUUCAGGCCAGGGUAUGUCUGGAAACGGGCAUGCCUUCCAGUGUGAAAAGGAUUAAUCAAACCCGCCAA
RNAcentral lists this non-coding RNA (113 nucleotides) under Dethiosulfatibacter aminovorans. Its description in RNAcentral is "MoCo sequence". It matches the Rfam family "Molybdenum/Tungsten riboswitch aptamer (Moco RNA motif)". The record is from RNAcentral. Lineage: Bacteria; Bacillati; Bacillota; Tissierellia. RNAcentral also lists the same sequence under 1 other name.